UGUUGGGGAAUCCACACCAAAUAUCAUAAUCAACGACUUCAUAAUGGGCGAAAUGGAACUUAUUGAGAAGUUGUUACAAACUGAAAUUAAUAUAUUCCGCUCAAUCAGAGAUGGAAGUGCUUACAUGCAGCAUAUGGAGGACUUCUAUUACAUCACAUUACUAGAGAAUGUAAGAUCAAAUUACCAAGUUGCCUCAAGGUCAGAAGAUGUAAACACCAGCUUAUCCUGAGC
This is a long non-coding RNA of Lathyrus oleraceus (garden pea), 231 nucleotides long. RefSeq lists it as uncharacterized. The transcript is spliced from 3 exons. NCBI's taxonomy places the organism in Eukaryota, Viridiplantae, Streptophyta, Magnoliopsida, Fabales, Fabaceae. The record is from RefSeq and is a predicted model, not a curated record.